Pteropus vampyrus (large flying fox) is the source of this 127-nucleotide ribosomal RNA. Lineage: Eukaryota; Metazoa; Chordata; Mammalia; Chiroptera; Pteropodidae. The record is from Ensembl.
GUCUACGGCCAUGCCACCCUGAACACCUGAACACGCCCAGUCCCCUCUGAUCUCAGAAGCUAAGCAGGGUUGGGCCUGGUUAGUACUUGGAUGGGAGACCACCUAGGAAGACCAGGUGCUGUAGGUG